Oncorhynchus nerka (sockeye salmon) is the source of this 749-nucleotide long non-coding RNA. RefSeq lists it as uncharacterized. The transcript has 4 exons. Lineage: Eukaryota; Metazoa; Chordata; Actinopteri; Salmoniformes; Salmonidae. The record is from RefSeq and is a predicted model, not a curated record.
GGUGAAGGCCCCAGUGCAGCAGCAACAGCACAUGAUGGAGACGAUGAUGAGGAGGAGACCAUCUCUCUGGAUUCCAGAAGGCAUGAGGACCCAGAUGCUAUACAGUGGGAAAACCAGCCUGGCAACAUAGUGCGUAUUAAUAAAAGGACACCACAUCCUGCCAAAUUCCAGCUGCGCUAAUUGUAUUGUGUUCACAGAGCUCACAAGCUAUCAGAAAGUUGUAUGGCAACCACCUCCGGCGCCAAAUAGAACUGGCAGACAUAGACAUUCAGUACAAGAAGAAAAAGAUAGAAAAUCUUGCACUGGAGUCCGAAAUAAAAAAGAGGACAAUUAGGAAACUGGACCUUGAAAUAAAAAAACUUGCGAGGGAGCUCCAAGAAGAUGACACAGCUCAAAAUAAAAAUUAGCAAUCAGUACAACCAAGUCAUCGUUAUAAGGCAUCGCCCUCUUUUGCCCACCCCCAGCACCAGGUGUGGCCACUAGCCUAUAUGAAGGCCCAAAAUUGUGUGUUCCUUUCUGCUCUGACAAUGGCAUGCCCAUUCGUGCGAGAUGUGGUGGAUGAAGAAGCACUUGUGCUGAGGAGAGCCUUCAGGCGAGAAAGGGUCUUCAGGGACCGGUUGGACCCACUGGCCUUCCCUGAUGACCAUCUAUAUGAAAGAUACAGGUUUUCUGCAGAUGGCAUCAGGUAUCUAUGCAGACUACUGGGUCCCAGGAUUAAGCACCGCACUGCACGGAGCCAUGCACUGAGU